GAGAUUUUGAGGAGUAGAGACUUCGGUCAAAGCGAGUCAAAUGAAAGCGGCGGACGGGUGAGUAACGCGUGAGCAAUCUGCCCCAUACAAAGGGAUACCCACUGGAAACGGUGAUUAAUACCUUAUAAGACCACAGAGUCGCAUGGCUCAGGGGUCAAAGAUUUAUCGGUAUGGGAUGAGCUCGCGUCUGAUUAGCUAGUUGGUAAGGUAAUGGCUUACCAAGGCGACGAUCAGUAGCCGACCUGAGAGGGUGAACGGCCACACUGGAACUGAGACACGGUCCAGACUCCUACGGGAGGCAGCAGUGGGGAAUAUUGCACAAUGGGCGCAAGCCUGAUGCAGCAACGCCGCGUGAAUGAUGAAGGCCUUCGGGUCGUAAAGUUCUGUCCAAAGGGAAGAAUAAAAUGACGGUACCUUUGGAGGAAGCCCCGGCUAACUACGUGCCAGCAGCCGCGGUAAUACGUAGGGGGCAAGCGUUAUCCGGAAUCACUGGGCGUAAAGGGAGCGUACGCGGUUUGACAAGCCAGAAGUGAGAGGCAAUAGCUUAACUAUUGUAAGCCUUUGGAACUGUCGAACUUGAGUGCAGGAGAGGAAAGUGGAA
This 601-nucleotide ribosomal RNA is filed under the name uncultured bacterium. RNAcentral's name for it is "bacterial SSU rRNA". It matches the Rfam family "Bacterial small subunit ribosomal RNA", at positions 64 to 666 of the family's 1533-position model. The record is from RNAcentral.